RNAcentral lists this ribosomal RNA (478 nucleotides) under uncultured bacterium. RNAcentral describes it as "partial 16S ribosomal RNA". It matches the Rfam family "Bacterial small subunit ribosomal RNA", at positions 28 to 507 of the family's 1533-position model. The record is from RNAcentral.
GACGAACGCUGGCGGCGUGCUUAACACAUGCAAGUCGAACGUGAUUUUUGUGGAAAUUCUUUCGGGAAUAGAAAUGAAAUGAAAGUGGCGAACGGGUGAGUAACACGUGAGCAACCUACCUUACACAGGGGGAUAGCCGUUGGAAACGACGAUUAAUACCGCAUGAGACCACAGAAUCGCAUGAUAUAGGGGUCAAAGAUUUAUCGGUGUAAGAAGGGCUCGCGUCUGAUUAGCUAGUUGGAAGGGUAAAGGCCUACCAAGGCGACGAUCAGUAGCCGGUCUGAGAGGAUGAACGGCCACAUUGGAACUGAGACACGGUCCAAACUCCUACGGGAGGCAGCAGUGGGGAAUAUUGCACAAUGGGGGGAACCCUGAUGCAGCGACGCCGCGUGAGCGAAGAAGGUUUUCGAAUCGUAAAGCUCUGUCCUAUGAGAAGAUAAUGACGGUAUCAUAGGAGGAAGCCCCGGCUAAAUACGUG